GUGGCCGUGGCUGAAUGGUUACGGUGUUCGCUUUAUAAGCGAAUGGUCUGGGUUCGAUUCUCAUCUGCUCCC
Transfer RNA from Culex pipiens (northern house mosquito), 72 nucleotides. It matches the Rfam family "tRNA". Rfam says of the family: Transfer RNA (tRNA) molecules are approximately 80 nucleotides in length. Their secondary structure includes four short double-helical elements and three loops (D, anti-codon, and T loops). The record is from Rfam. Lineage: Eukaryota; Metazoa; Arthropoda; Insecta; Diptera; Culicidae.